UGGCUCAGGAUGAACGCUGGCGGCGUGCCUAACACAUGCAAGUCGAGCGCGAUUAAGUGGAGUGAGAACUUCGGUUCAAGUGAAGCUUAUGAAAGCGGCGGACGGGUGAGUAACGCGUGGGUAACCUGCCCCAUACAAAGGGAUAGCCACUGGAAACGGUGAUUAAUACCUUAUAAGUCGGUAGUCUCGCAUGAGACAGCCGACAAAGAUUUAUCGGUAUGGGAUGGACCCGCGUCUGAUUAGCUAGUUGGUGAGGUAACGGCUCACCAAGGCGACGAUCAGUAGCCGACCUGAGAGGGUGAUCGGCCACACUGGAACUGAGACACGGUCCAGACUCCUACGGGAGGCAGCAGUGGGGAAUAUUGCACAAUGGGCGCAAGCCUGAUGCAGCAACGCCGCGUGAGUGAUGAAGGCUUUCGGGUCGUAAAACUCUGUCCUAUGGGAAGAAAAAAUAGACGGUACCGAUAGGAGGAAGCCCGGCGUAACUACGUG
This 492-nucleotide ribosomal RNA is filed under the name uncultured bacterium. Its description in RNAcentral is "bacterial SSU rRNA". It matches the Rfam family "Bacterial small subunit ribosomal RNA", at positions 20 to 507 of the family's 1533-position model. The record is from RNAcentral.